Molecule: non-coding RNA, 24 nt
Filed under: Cricetulus griseus (Chinese hamster)
Lineage: Eukaryota; Metazoa; Chordata; Mammalia; Rodentia; Cricetidae
Source: RNAcentral
UGACUUAACCUGUUUACUCUCAGA